Molecule: non-coding RNA, 8821 nt
Organism: Taeniopygia guttata (zebra finch)
Lineage: Eukaryota; Metazoa; Chordata; Aves; Passeriformes; Estrildidae
Source: RefSeq, a predicted model, not a curated record
AGAAUUUGCUCUAUCAGAAACCCAGCCCAGAUGGAAUCUUCAGUCCCUACCCUUUAACCCUGACAUGUUCAGAAAGAGAAUGUGGACCACUGUCUCCUGCUGCUGCCUUUUUGUCCAUGACCUUUCCUUGUAGGGAGCAAAACAACCCCAAAAGCUUUGUCCAUUCACUGCCUUUAGGGUGCUCACAGCCCCAGCGUUCCAAAUAAAAGCACAAAGUUAAUGUCAAUUUAAGGAACAGCACCUCUCCAGCUUGGAUAUUUUCUGCAGCAUGUGGCUCUGGAUAUUCCCAGUUCAGCUCGAUUAUUGUUCUUCCAGAUCGAUGGAACUUUGCGAGGAGUCACAAUGAAAGAAGUGUGAGUAAUAGAAAAAUAUUUUAAAAGCUUGGAGUAAACCCACAGAUCUCGAGAUUGUGUUUUAGAUUGUAGGGGUGCUGCUGAUUUCCUUGAAAGUUGUGAGAUAAAGUUCCACAGCUCUUGAUUAGUCCCUGUGGUUAAUUGUUUCAUCCCUGGGUCACAGGCUGCUGCUUCAGCCACCUAUCCAGGAAUGAGUUUAAAAACAAACAAAAUGCUUUUGUUGCCUUAAGCCUCUAAGAGGAUGAGGGUAGAUGUCACUGUUUGAGGUUGUAGCCUUGUAUUUCUUGACAAAAGUGGCUUGAAGUAGCAGCAAAUUAUCUUCCGGACAUCGUUUCUUUGUUUCCAUAAUUAACUUCUACUGAAACUGCUCUGUUAAUUACGUCCUCACAGGGAUUUAAAGUGUUGCAAAUGAGAGUUAGGUAGGGGAGUAUUAUGGAUUUAAGUAGGCAAAGAGAAGGGGGAAAAAAGAGUUUCCCUGAGGUGUGACACUGGAUCUUGCUCUUUAGAAACAGAUGUAGAAAUCCAGCAGUCUGCUGGGACUCCAAAGAGCACCUCAGAGUUGAAAACUCUUUAAAAAAAUCUCUAACUAAAUGCAGCUGCUUUACGCACAGCGAUUGUCUCGCAAGCCAGAAACAUGUAGAAAGUUAACUCAGACAAAAGAAAAAGUGUAAACCUUUCCUUCCCCGGGCCCUGAAAACCAAAACCCUCUCAAGUCAUCCUCAAGUGCAAAUUCGCUGUUGUUGUGUGAAAUGUUGUGUCUCAAGGACCAGCAGCCAGGAAUCGCUGCUCUGAGGUGCUGUCCCCUCGGGUGGGCAUCCCGGUGAUGGGCGCUGUGGAAAUGGCACAUCUGGCACAGCUGGAGAGUCUCACAGCCGGCCGGGCAGAGGCGGAGCUGUGACACUCUUCACCCAGCCUGCAUUUUGACACGCUCCUCCAUACCGAGGUAUUUAAACGAGCAGCAAAUCCAGUUAUUUUACCGUCUAGAUGCUCUCUUUGAUCCAGGUUGCUGCUUUUAAAAAUUAGCAAACCCCGUGCUGUGUCUUGAAAUCAGCUCCCUAAAGAAAUUCUGGGUUUGCCUCAGCCCCAAACAGUUGAAUAAUGAAGUGACUUUGUAGGGUGUUUCUUGUUUCUUUUUCAUUGUAAUCAAGAAGAUGUUGAAAGUUAAUGAAUCUGCACAUUUAUAAAUGGUACAGCAGUGAAAUGAAUAAAUGAGAGCAGUUGUCAAUGGUUCUUUGUAAAUAACAAAAUAUUGGUGUUAGCUGAAGGAUGCUUCUGUGGGAGUGGCGAUUGCAGUUUUACAUCCUUUAUGAUGAAGUGCUUUAAAAUUCCUAAAAUUCUACAUUUGGUGUAAAGUUUCUUUCAGUCAGGUGCUACAGAGGAGGUUAAAUUUUUUUUUAAAGUUACAAUUUUUUUUUCUGUCUGUUUAUAAACAGAGUCACUGCUGUCCUUGCCAGGAGUGUGGCGUGUGAGAGGCUUGGACAUGUUUAAUGUCAUUUAAUUGGGCUGGAACGACAGCAUAGCUGGGGGUGCUACACUGUGAAGUUUGCUAAGGUGGCAAAAUGGAAUAAUUUCAGCUAUAUAUAUAUCACUAGUGUGUGAUGUGAUGAUAAAGCUCUAAAUAUUACUAUUAUUUAAUAGUAAAGGUCUUUGAAGUCUGCCAGGGAGUAUAAUGUAAAAUAAAAGAACUUGCCUAUAUUUGGACUCGAAUGCAAUGCAAUAUUGAAAAUGGUGCUCUGCCAAAGUCAGGCAGCUUGGGGAAAAGAAGUAGCUUGAGAAAGGAACCCUUCAGUGAGGAAAGCAAUAACCUCAGGCUGCUUCCAUGCCAGCAUCCCGGCGUGAGGAAGAUUGCUUUCCAGGAUCUCCUCCUGAAGUGGAGACACUGGAGUGCCACUGUUUCCAAGUAAAUCUGCAGGGCAGCAGAUGAAAGGAAGUGCUUGUGGAAAGAAUCCCAUGGUUUGUGUUGGUGGGAUAGACACAGAUUUGGAGGAUGAUUGUCAGGUAGGAUUCCUGAAAAAAUGGUGCAGAGUGGGUCACCAAGAGGAGCAGAGGGCACAGCAGUGCCAUGGAGGAGGGACUGACAGGGAUAAAUGGGCUGUGUGUGCAGAGCUGCCCUUUCUCUGCUGGUUCCCAACCAGUCACUCUGUGGAGCUUCUGCCCGGGGCAGGAGCAGGACAAAGCUCAGGCCGAGGCUGCUUUGCUGCUUCACCGAGUUCCGUGGGCUUUUUGGGCUUGGUGUCUGCUCUGACAAACCCCUCUGGAGAGCUGUGUGCAGUCUGGGUGGUCAGAGAGGGUGAAGGACAGCACAGGAUGGUCCUGCAGGGCAUGUCCUGGAUCAUGGUGGUGGUGAGGGCUGGCUGCUGUGUCCUGUUGGCUGGAGUGUGCCAAUUUGGGGGUGCUGGUCCAGGCUUGGCUUAACCCUCCUGGACCCUGCUGAGAUUUUCUGAUCUCUUUGCUCUUGUUACUCUGGGAAAUGGCUGAGGCUGAGUCAGUGAAGGUUUAGGCUGGGUAUCAGGAGAAAAGUUCUUCCCCCAGAGGGAAUUUAGGCACUACACAGGCUCCUCAGGGAAUGGGCACGGCCCCACGGCUGCCAGAGCUCCAGGAGCAUUUGGACAGCAUCUCACAGACAGGGUGGGGUUGCUGGGGUGUCUGUGCAGGGCCAGCAGUUGGACUGAAUGAUCCUUUGGGGUCCCUUCCAGCAGGAUUCUGUGAUUCUAUGAUGCCACAUUGGAGACAGGAAUCCUGGGUGUAUUUAUCAUGCCCUGGGAAUGUUGAAGGCAGAAAUAAUCUAUCUGCUUUUUGUGUCAGGGAAAACUAAAACAAAUAACAAAUAAGGCAAGUCCCUGUGUGUACAGGCAGCCACUGUCCCCAAGAGCUGGAGCAGAAGUGCUGAGAACUUUGUGCAGAUGUUCCAUGGUCUCUAUAACCCUGCUGAUGCUCUGGGCUGUGCAGAGAUGUGCAUUCACUCACUCCCAGAUAUUUGGGACUAGCUUUAAGUUAGGGCUUUGCCAUCCAAAUACGCACUGGGAAAGUUUCAUAACUGGAACAUGCUGAGUGGAGAGAGAACCACGUUGAGCUCAGCUUUCAGUGAGUUUCACCUACAGUGACAAGAGGUCAUUUAAUUCCCAGCUGAUUGUCAGGAAGAUGGAUUUAUAUCAUUAAAUGCUUUCAGGAGGCCGAGGAAGAGCUCCUGGUGGACCUUUGCUUCUGCCUGCUGGCAUCUCUGGGGCUGAAACACUUCAUGCUCACCAGAGGAUGUUUCUGAACUGAGGGCCCCUGACUUUUACAUUCACUUUUCUUGGCAGCCUGACAGAGCCCAAGUCUGGCAACCUUUGUAAGUGAGAUGCAACAAGCCUCACUUAUUUCAGCUAUUGCUCUGUCACUGUGUUUUUAAUUUACUGUAAUUCAAUAACUGACACAAUGCUGGAGUAAAUAAAUGGGCUGUGAACAUUCUCAUAGACCUUGGGCAUCCAGCUCAGGGCAAGAUUUAGCUUUUAAUUAACACUGUCCAUGAGAUUUAUUGUUAAAAUUGCAUCCUUUUAAAUAAGUCAAUCUGAAGUUGAUUAAGAGAUGAAUAAUUGAAACCUGCUGUGGGGUAACAGAAUGCAUUCUAGUGGAUGCAGCAGUGGAGCACCAUUGGAGCUCCACAUCCCUUUUCUCCUGAGUUUUGGGUCUUUCCCAUAAGCUGGACGUUGUCAUUAACUUUUCUGUGCAGGAUUUGUUGCUCUGUGUUGAAAAAAAAUAUGUGUUCUUCAAUAUUAAGAACAACAGCAUUUUACCUGUGUAUAAACUGCAUUCUUAGUACAGCAAAGAGCUUUAGGAAGGCCUUGAGACACCUUGGUAAAAACCCUUAAAGGGUUUUUGCUCCUUUCACUCCACUCUGCUACACAAAUUCCCAAAAAGAGGCCCAGGCAAGGGAAGGUGCUGUAAAGGCAUCCUCUCACUGGAGGGGAAUCUUAUUAGCAAAAUUAUAUUUCAUCAGGGAUUAAAAGAAAAUACUGACCUGAUUUUCUUGUGUUCUAUAGGGAGAGAUGGUAUCUGAUUUGCCCUUUUGCUUUUGAGAGCCUGUUUGUAGGAUGUGAUUUAUGUUCUUGCAUUCUGUUUGUGAUUGAUCUUUUUUAAAUCCUAAUGAGUAUUUCUGACCCCUGAACAGCAGUAAAAUGUUCACAAACUUGAGAGUAUUUUAUAUGCAGCACUUAGACAAUUUUCUCUUAAAAUCUGUUGUCUCUUUUCCCAGCAGCAAAUAUGGUCUUGAUAUGAGGAGCUGUGUGAGCAGCCCCUCUCAUUUCAGGCUGAAAAACCUCCAGGGAAUGUCAAUAUCAAUAUUUGUUGGUUGAGCUGUUCAGGGUGAGACAAAUUAGGUUGGGCAUUGAGUGAACUGGACCAUUCCUUCCUUCCUGAACUGGUUUCACUGGGGAGUCACAUUUGGCACUGAUCACACUUGUGGCUCUGCUUUCAGCAUUUCUGUAGGUCCUGAUGGCUCUGGGGAAGUUCUUUGAUCUGUCUUGAAAACUUCAAAAGUUGAGAGUUGGUACUGGGGGAAGGAGAAAAAGGUGGUCUUGGUGUCGAUAGCAGGUACAGUGAAUUUUCAGGGAAUUCAUGCAAUAAGAAGGAGAGACCACCUGCAAACUGACAGCUUUUCCUUGCCAUGAGGCCUUUGGUAAUAAUAUCUCAUGGUGGAAGUGACUGCUGUAAGCAGGACACCUUUACAAGUAUUUUUGGGAAUCUGAACAUUUAAGGUUGCUCUCUUAAGUUUAUGGGCUGUGUUUAGUUCCCUCAUCCAAGAGAGAAGUCUCGAUCCUGUUCAGUUCUCUCAUCCAAGGGCAUUCUGAAGGCUCUGGGCUUGGAGCUCUGAAGCACUGGGUGAAUUUUUUGGUAUCUUAUAUGUAUUGUGGAGUACCUCUGGUACAUCCAACUUUAAAAAUCCAUGGUUAGCUCUAAGAGCAAUCCCCUUUUCUGGGAAGUUUUGACAGAAUGCAGCAGCAAAGUCUUAACUGGAGUUUUCUCUGUCAGUAAAUGAGUGAAGCUGUGGCCUCAGGCGUCACAGCCCAUCCAGCAGGGUCACAGCAGGGACAGUAGUGCUGGCACUGCCUCUGCUUUGGGAAAAUCAGAGUUCAGGCUCCUGCACAGGUCUGUACAUCAGGUGUUGUUUAUUUUGCUGACAGCUCUACAGAAAUCCCCUACCCAAACCUGUAAUUGUCGGAUGUUCUGUUAUCCUAUUCCUGCUGCCAGUUAUUAUCUGCUGAGAUUAUCAAGGGUAACUUCACCUGGACUAAUUGUAAUAACUGACAAAGCCUGAGGGCAAGAAUUCUGUCUCAGCAGUGCAAGGAGGGAUUAGGUGUGUGUAUAUGCCAUGUAAUUUGCUGAGAGGUGUCUAUGUACAGAUCUGUCAGGAGAACUGUAAAAUCGUUUGAAAUGUUGCAAGGGAUGGAUGUGUGGUGAUAGGAGGCUCAACUUUCUUCAGCCUUUGUUGCAUUAUCCCACUGAAGUGAAUUUCAUAGGCUUUUUUCUGCCCUUCCUGUAUAAGCUGGUGUCAGGCUCCUUGAGAAGGCACUUAUGUUCUUGAAGGAUUAUUGUGCUAAUUUAGCUUUCAUUUCAUCAGGUAUCAAGGCUUGAUUUUAUCCUGCUGUUUGUUGCUCUGUCCUUACUGGGAAUUACUGACACCAGAGAUGUUGGGGAUUACACUGAAGAUGACUGAGGUGCAGCAGGGAAAUGGUUUUUGAUUUCUACUUGCUUUGCUGUCCUAAAGAUCCUACAAGAUCCUAAAGAUCCUACAAGAUCCUAAAGAGUGUGGUUAUGGCUGAAUCACUCAGCAGUGCUGGUUAAGGCAGUCAAUCUGAGCAGCAGAGCCUGACAGAUUUUUUUGUCAGAAUCCUUUAGAGGAUGCAUGUAAUGAAUCUUUUAGUAACUUUAGUGGGCAGUUGUUUUCAGCCAGCUGAAAUAUUUCCUGUGCUAAGGAAGACAGACUUUCCACGUGAAAGUCAUGAUGUGCCCACAUCCCCUGGUGGGGGAUAUUAUUGCCUUAAAAGAACUCCAAAGAAUGAACUCAGUCCUGCUAAUGAUGGUACUUGUUACCAGUACACAAACAAAGGACACUGAAAAUUAAUUUUUAUAUAUUUUCCUUGUUUUUAGCCUGAAAUCCACUCUUACCCUCCCCCCCAGAAAAUGCUUUUGCUGCUUUGUUUCCAGACACACUUCAAAUGUAGAGUGUCCUGGAAUAUUUUAUCCUGAAAAAUAGAGAAAUGCAGUUCCUCUCAGGGACUUUGUUGGACUCAAACUACACGUGGUGCUUAAAGAAAUGGGAGAAAUGUUUUGGUUUGCUCCAUUACACUGCUACAACUCCUGAGUGUUUCCCAACAUCUCUGGUAUCCAAAUGGGCACUGGUAGCACCGGGAUGGUUUUUAGGUUUUUGUGCUGGGGUUGUGCUUUGCCCCUUUCCCAGAGCUGGGAAAUGCCCUCUGCAGAAGGUGGGAAACUUGAAUCCUUGGGAUUGAGUCCUGAGGCACAGGAUGCAGUGUUCCCUGUGCUUCCUGCACCAAAUGCCACGGGAGCAGGGAUGGUUUUCAUCUGGGUGUGAUGUGGGGCUGGCUCAGCUUGCAGGGGUGAAAGAUGAGUGUCACUUCCAGCACUGGCUCUGGGAGCACACAGGGGCUGCUCUGCCCAGGGAAGGACAAACCAGAGCUUUGCAGACAGGAAAAAAGCUGCUCAGGGGGGGAUUGGAUUUCUCCAAACAAAAUGUUAUCCAAAAAUAUUCCUGGGGUUCAGAUGAGCAGCCAAAUGCAAAUGGUUGCACUUUUUCUUCCGUAUAUGUUCUCAGGCUCUCUAGCAGCCCCAAUGAUAAUAUCCCAAUUUUUCCUCCAAAAAUGUGCACAAAAGACAUCUCAUUUGGUUACUAAUAAAUAAUACAGAAUUCAGUUAAAUCCUAGUGAAAAUACACCGUUUCUGUGAGGAAUAUUGCUCAGACUGAACGUGGGACUUGAAAUAAUUUCCAAAUUUUAACUCCAUUUGUGUGUAAGGAAAACAUUUGCAGUACUUGGUGAAAGCUGUUGCAACCUGAGACAGUAUUUGUUCUUGGAACCUAUAUUUAAAAAGUUCUUGUGCAGUUCAAGGAGACCAAUAGUUUUCUGAGCAAGAGCUUUUCACAUUUUGGAGGACUAUAAAGAUAAAAAUGGAAAUGCUUAAUGCUGUGUUUUUAAAUUUUGACUGAGAAGCAACUCCUGUUUCAUUCUGUUGCGUGGAUUUUUUGGCUUUUAUUACUUUUCUCAUCACUGCAUAGAGUUCUGAAAUGAGUUAUUUUUGUAUAUGUAGAGAAAGGAUUUUAUAACCUUCAGGAUUUUUCCAUUUUGCCUGAAUUUAUCAAACAUUUGUUCAGAUGAAGUGAAAGGAGAGGCAGCUUCAAGUGUCUCUUUCCUGUUGCACAGAGCUUGAUCCUUUCUGAGUUCUGCAGAAUUUCCCAGUUUGAGCCAAACUAGGAAACAUUUUAGAUACUUUGUGCUCAUUCAUCUUUGAUGUUUGGGAUUUGGGACUUUGGUGGUUUAUUUUGGCCAUCAGCCCGGGUGAAAAUGUGCUGGAAAAGGGGUGCACCUGGCAGGGGAGGGUCUGGCAGCCCUUUCCUGUCCUGCACCAACACUUUCUGCCCUGGGUCAGUUUUAAUCCAAGUUAUUUCUGGGGUUUCCAGCUCAUUUCUGGAUCCUGGCAUGUCUGAAGAUGCAGGAGGAUCACCUCUGGACAGCACAAGCACUAAAUACUUCAAAAUUCACUUGUAGUGCCUGCUUGCCAGGGUGGAUUUUUUGGGUUUUUUGUUAUUUUCUUGUGUUUUAAUGACGAACUUGCCCUCUGUGGGACCAAGCUGGUGGAGCUUUGGAGGGAAAACGUCGUUCAGUGAACUUUGGGAUUUGCUGUGUCUUUGCUAAGGGGCUGGUUCAGAAAUGCUGGUAAUGAAUUGUUAGAGAGUCCAUGAUAAAUGCUCCAUCACAUACUUUGCAUGCAUUUUAUUUUUAAAAAAAAUCAGUUCAAAUGCAUUUUUUGUACAGAUGGAGCGGUUGGAGGUUUACCUGAAGCCCCUGAUGUGGUGUUAGAGAUGUGCUGUAGCUCAGCCCUUACAGGCACAUGAUGAACAGCAGAGAAACACAAGCCAUGGAGUCCUGCAGCAGUGCCAGCUCCUCAGUUGGUUUGUGUUUAUAAGCAGAUGCUUCUUCUUUAAUCUGGGGAGAGAUUGGAGCAUUCUCCACAGAGGGGCUGAUUUACCAAGAGAUGCAAUCAAUUUGUUUCCAAGCACAGACAUGUCUGGGAUAAUACAACACAGGCACACCAAUAACAAUGCUGUUUUUAAUGCUUUCUUCUUAUUUUUCAUUUUUUACUGACUAGGGUUAUUAAAAAAAAAAAUCAUCUGUACCACUUUAAUUUUCAGGGGAGAAGGUACUGGGGAGCAGGAUUACAGAUGUUCACAUGCCCAGACCUUGUAGGGGUAU